GAUGAACGCUGGCGGCGUGCCUAAUACAUGCAAGUCGAGCGAACGGACGAGAAGCUUGCUUCUCUGAUGUUAGCGGCGGACGGGUGAGUAACACGUGGAUAACCUACCUAUAAGACUGGGAUAACUUCGGGAAACCGGAGCUAAUACCGGAUAAUAUUUUGAACCGCAUGGUUCAAAAGUGAAAGACGGUCUUGCUGUCACUUAUAGAUGGAUCCGCGCUGCAUUAGCUAGUUGGUAAGGUAACGGCUUACCAAGGCAACGAUGCAUAGCCGACCUGAGAGGGUGGUCGGCCACACUGGAACUGAGACACGGUCCAGACUCCUACGGGAGGCAGCAGUAGGGAAUCUUCCGAAAUGGGCGAAAGCCUGACGGAGCAACGCCGCGUGAGUGAUGAAGGUCUUCGGAUCGUAAAACUCUGUUAUUAGGGAAGAACAUAUGUGUAAGUAACUGUGCACAUCUUGACGGUACCUAAUCAGAAAGCCACGGCUAACUACGUG
This 497-nucleotide ribosomal RNA is filed under the name uncultured bacterium. RNAcentral describes it as "partial 16S ribosomal RNA". It matches the Rfam family "Bacterial small subunit ribosomal RNA", at positions 28 to 507 of the family's 1533-position model. The record is from RNAcentral.